UGGGGAAUAUUGCACAAUGGGCGAAAGCCUGAUCCAGCAACGCCGCGUGAGGGAUGACGGCCUUCGGGUUGUAAACCUCUUUCAGUACCGACGAAGCGCAAGUGACGGUAGGUACAGAAGAAGCACCGGCCAACUACGUGCCAGCAGCCGCGGUAAUACGUAGGGUGCGAGCGUUGUCCGGAAUUACUGGGCGUAAAGAGCUCGUAGGUGGUUUGUCGCGUUGUUCGUGAAAACUCACAACUCAAUUGUGGGCGUGCGGGCGAGUACGGGCGAGACUGGAGUACGUGCAGGGGAGACUGGAAUUCCGUGGUGUAGCGGUGGAAUGCGCAGAUAUCAGGAGGAACACCGGUGGCGAAGGCGGGUCUCU
This 367-nucleotide ribosomal RNA is filed under the name uncultured Mycobacteriales bacterium. Its description in RNAcentral is "bacterial SSU rRNA". It matches the Rfam family "Bacterial small subunit ribosomal RNA", at positions 355 to 730 of the family's 1533-position model. The record is from RNAcentral. Lineage: Bacteria; Bacillati; Actinomycetota; Actinomycetes; Mycobacteriales.